Vitis vinifera (wine grape) is the source of this 594-nucleotide long non-coding RNA. RefSeq lists it as uncharacterized. The record is from RefSeq and is a predicted model, not a curated record. NCBI's taxonomy places the organism in Eukaryota, Viridiplantae, Streptophyta, Magnoliopsida, Vitales, Vitaceae. The transcript is spliced from 2 exons.
AUCUUAUUCUGGUAACUGAGGACUGCUUUUAUACUUCAAUUGCCUCUCUGUAGCAUCACAUGAAACUAUUCUGUAUGGUAUGAAUUUAUUAUUAACUUAUUGACCUAGGAUGUAGAAAUUAUGAUCUUUCCUUGUGGUAAAUGUGUUUGAGUUGAUGUGUUUGUCUUUCUUGCCUUGGUCUUUAGCAUCAUAUUAAAAUAAUUCUUAUGAUGUGAAUAUAAUGUUCUUCAGUUGAAUCCAUAAUUUGGCAAAUGUGAUAUUUUCUGUGGUUGUCAUGUUUUGUGUUGAUAUUAUGUCAUCGUCUUCUAAUCUAUCAAAAAAACAAAAAUUAUGUCUGAUUGUCUUCUAGUUUAUGUGUCAUACUUUCUCAUUAUUUUGUAAUAUUGGCUGUGUGAAAUGGUCUUGCAGGAUUAUCUAGACUGCUGCAGUUUUGGCUUUUGUUGGGAAGCUAAUAUUUGGAGAACUUUGAUGGGUUGGCUAGAGGGAGGGCAUAGAUCACUGGAGUUUUUCAUAGAGGAUUUUUGCAUCUGCAUCCCACCUGAUUGUAUCACCUGCACUUCUGUUUUUCAGUAUUUUAUGUAGGUGUUCUUUGGA